AACGUAGGAGACAACCGUUAUCCGGAGUUGCUGGGCGUAAAGGGCGUGUAGGUGGUUAUGUAAGUCUGGCGUGAAAUUUUUCGGCUUAACCGGGAAAGGUCGUCGGAUACUGCACAACUAGAGGACGGUAGAGGCGUGUGGAAUUCCGGGUGUAGUGGUGAAAUGCGUAGAGAUCCGGAGGAACACCAGUGGCGAAGGCGACACGCUGGGCCGUACCUGACACUGAUGCGCGACAGCAUGGGGAGCAAACAGG
RNAcentral lists this ribosomal RNA (253 nucleotides) under uncultured bacterium. Its description in RNAcentral is "partial 16S ribosomal RNA". It matches the Rfam family "Bacterial small subunit ribosomal RNA", at positions 524 to 776 of the family's 1533-position model. The record is from RNAcentral.